CUAAGGAAUAAUACGGAAACUGCACAUAUCGAAAAGUUAUUCAGUUUUGAGAGAUCUACUCAUGGAUCUGUAGCUCGGCUGGUUUAGAGCGCACGCCUGAUAAGCGUGAGGUCGAUGGUUCGAGUCCAUUCAGAUCCAUCAAUGGGGCCUUAGCUCAGUUGGGAGAGCGCCUGCUUUGCACGCAGGAGGUCAGGAGUUCGACUCUCCUAGGCUCCAUUGAUGACGAAUAGUCGUCAAAACUUGUUCUUUGAAAACUAGAUAAUAAUUUAUUUCUUUAUAAAACCGAGAACACCGCGUUUUAAAGAGUUUAAAACAAGAAAAAGUUCUUAAUCGCUAAACUCAUAGACCACUAUCAGAAAGAUAGUUGA
This 368-nucleotide transfer RNA is filed under the name uncultured bacterium. RNAcentral's name for it is "16S-23S ribosomal RNA intergenic spacer". The stretch from base 144 to 216 matches the Rfam family "tRNA". The record is from RNAcentral.